CUAAUAGCUGGUUUCCUCCGAAGUUUCCCUCAGGAUAGCUGUAAUGCAUUUAGUUAAGGGGAGUAGAGAUAUGGGUAGAGGUGCAGGGAGCCUUCGGGUUCUCAACUUAUUUCCAAACUUCGAACCUCCUUGUUAGGCAUUUACCUAACUGGAAAUGCUUAAAUGAAUUAGCGUUACAAGUGGGCUCUGACCGGUAAGCGGUCAUGGCGAAAUGGGAUGAACCAUACGUCUGAAUAAGGUGCCGAAAUGUACUAUCACUGAUACCAUAAAGGGAGUCCAUGUAUUUAGACAGCAGGUCGGUGCCCCUAAAAGCAGGUAUCCGCUAAAGAGUGUGUUAAAACUCACCUGCCGAAUACUAGGGCCCCGAAAAUGAAUGGCGCAUAUAGUACUACCGAUCUCAGACAUCAGUUCUAUUGAACUGAGAGUAGGGGGAUGUGGACAUUUUUGUGAAGGUGCAAUGUGAGUUGGACUGGAAGAAUGUCUAUUACAGAUCCUAAUUGAAGUAGCGAUUAUCCAGGCUUGUAUCCUGGGGGCUGAUGAGGAGUAGGGUUUCUGGACAACUUAAACAGAUCCAGAGUUAGUCGAUCCUAAUCUCAAUAAUGGGAGAAAGGGAGUACAGUUGAUAUUCUGUAACUGACAACAGUUCGCGGCAACGCAUACUAUUUUUCUCCGCCAAUCUUAUACCGUUGGUAGGGAUCUCUUUCCUACAUGACAGUACUAAUACCCAGGGAAACUGGUCAUCAGGCGAACUGCGGCGUUCUGCUGGCAAAACAUAGCUUCGGUUAUGUCAAUGGCUAUUGGAUUGGUCCAUGAAGCGAAAAAUAGUUUACUGUGUCACUCGUACCGAUAACCGCAUCAGGUCUUCUAGGUAAGUAGCCUAUGGCCAUUGAGGCAUGAUAGUUCAGGGAAUUCGGCCAAUUAGAGCUGUAACUUCGGGAUAAAGCUGGC
RNAcentral lists this non-coding RNA (948 nucleotides) under Trichomonas vaginalis G3. Its description in RNAcentral is "Eukaryotic large subunit ribosomal RNA". It matches the Rfam family "Eukaryotic large subunit ribosomal RNA", at positions 944 to 1952 of the family's 3401-position model. The record is from Rfam by way of RNAcentral. Lineage: Eukaryota; Parabasalia; Trichomonadida; Trichomonadidae.